CUACGGGGGGCUCCAGUGGGGAAUAUUGCACAGUGGGCGCAAGCCUGAUGCAGCCAUGCCGCGUGUAUGAAGAAGGCCUUCGGGUUGUAAAGUACUUUCAGCGGGGAGGAAGGGAGUAAAGUUAAUACCUUUGCUCAUUGACGUUACCCGCAGAAGAAGCACCGGCUAACUCCGUGCCAGCAGCCGCGGUAAUACGGAGGGUGCAAGCGUUAAUCGGAAUUACUGGGCGUAAAGCGCACGCCGGCGGUUUGUUAAGUCAGAUGUGAAAUCCCCGGGCUCAACCUGGGAACUGCAUCUGAUACUGGCAAGCGUGAGUCUCGUAGAGGGGGGUAGAAUUCCAGGUGUAGCGGUGAAAUGCGUAGAUAUCUGGAAGAACACCAGUGGCGAAGGCGACUCCCUGGCCCAAUACUGUCGCUGAGGUGCGAAAGCGUGGGCAGCAAACAGGAUUAGAUACCCCCGUAGUC
Molecule: ribosomal RNA, 464 nt
Filed under: uncultured bacterium
Lineage: Bacteria
Description: partial 16S ribosomal RNA
Rfam family: Bacterial small subunit ribosomal RNA
Source: RNAcentral